GAUGAACGCUAGCUACAGGCUUAACACAUGCAAGUCGAGGGGUAACGAGAGGAAAGCUUGCUUUCCUUGUCGACGACCGGCGCACGGGUGAGUAACGCGUAUCCAACCUGCCCCCAACUAGGGAAUAACCUUGCGAAAGUAAGGCUAAUACCCUAUAAUUUCCUCAGAUGACAUCUGACGAGGAAUAAAGAUUUAUCGGUUGUGGAUGGGGAUGCGUCUGAUUAGCUUGUUGGCGGGGUAACGGCCCACCAAGGAAACGAUCAGUAGGGGUUCUGAGAGGAAGGUCCCCCACAUUGGGACUGAGACACGGUCCAAACUCCUACGGGAGGCAGCAGUGAGGAAUAUUGGUCAAUGGGCGGAAGCCUGAACCAGCCAAGUAGCGUGCAGGAUGACGGCCCUAUGGGUUGUAAACUGCUUUUAUACAGGAAUAAAGUUAGCCACGUGUGGUUAUUUGUAGGUACUGUAUGAAUAAGGACCGGCUAAUUCCGUGCCAGCCGCCGCGGUAA
This 506-nucleotide ribosomal RNA is filed under the name uncultured bacterium. RNAcentral's name for it is "partial 16S ribosomal RNA". It matches the Rfam family "Bacterial small subunit ribosomal RNA", at positions 28 to 523 of the family's 1533-position model. The record is from RNAcentral.